Molecule: small RNA, 844 nt
Filed under: Pongo abelii (Sumatran orangutan)
Lineage: Eukaryota; Metazoa; Chordata; Mammalia; Primates; Hominidae
Description: retained intron
Source: RNAcentral
CGCGGGGGAAACAGCGAGGCUGGCGCAGCGCCGAGGCCGCGGCCCUGGGGGCCCGCAAUCCACGCCACGGAAUCCCCGAGUGAGCAGGGGUGAGCGCAGCCACUGCCCAACGCAAACCGUGAAGAAGCUUCUGGAAGAGCAGAGGCGCCGCCAGCAGCAGCAGCCCGACGCUGGCGGGGUGCAGGGACAAUUUCUCCCUCCCCCAGAGCAGCCCCUGACCCCAUCUGUGAAUGAGGCUGUGACUGGCCGGACCCUGGAGAGUUUCUGCACUCCCUUCGGGACCCCCACAGUUGCCCGCUGUGGUCCCUGGACCAUCGCUGGAGGCAGCCCGAGCUCACAUGCUGGCUUUGGGGCCACAGCAGCUGCUGGCCCAGGAUGAGGAGGGGGACACGUGAGUAUAAGGGAUGCGGUUGUCUGCAGACUCUUGGCUUGGCGGGGGCUGUUCUCACGGCUGUCCCCCACCUGUCCUCAGGCUCCUUCACCUGUUCGCGGCUCGGGGGCUGCGCUGGGCGGCAUAUGCUGCGGCUGAGGUGCUCCAGGUGUACCGGCAUCUUGACAUUCGUGAGCAUAAGGGCAAGACCCCGCUUCUGGUGGCAGCUGCUGCCAACCAGCCCCUGAUUGUGGAGGAUCUGUUGAACCUGGGAGCAGAGCCCAAUGCCGCUGACCAUCAGGGACGUUCGGUCUUGCACGUGGCCGCUACCUACGGGCUCCCAGGAGUUCUCUUGGUAUGGCCAGCUGGCAGGCAGGGGUUUGUUUGGGGGGUAGACUGGUUGCCCAGAUUUUGGCUUCCACGGCCAGGAGGCCAGGGGAUACCCUUACCCAGCAGUCUGCCUUCUCUUCCUCC